Long non-coding RNA from Vicia villosa (hairy vetch), 1158 nucleotides. RefSeq lists it as uncharacterized. The transcript has 2 exons. The record is from RefSeq and is a predicted model, not a curated record. Lineage: Eukaryota; Viridiplantae; Streptophyta; Magnoliopsida; Fabales; Fabaceae.
GGAUUAGGGUUCGGUGUGACCUUUGGCCUCUUUCAGAACUUCGCUCUCCCUCUUUCAAGCGACGGCGGCGAGGUCCCCCCCUCGAUACUCCGACCAAGAUUCCAACGGCGCCAUCACCGUCCUCACCUAUCUUCUUUCGAACUCUCCGUCUCCGUCUCGUGAAACUACGACUUCCUCUGUUCUCUUUUCCGUUCAAGAUGCGUGACCGUUGUUGUGCUCUUCUGUUGAGAACGCGUUGUUGUUGUUCGCAGUGAAGGCAAUGAGGAAUUAUGGCUAUAGGAAGCGAUGAUGUUGAAUCGUGGUAGAGAAUUGAAGUCAAUUUCGAAGGUUUGCGAGAGAUGCUGCAGAAUUCCUGAUGAUAGAUGAUGAAGAUUGUGUGGCGCUCAGAGUUGAACCGUGGAGUGAUGACGAUUUGAGAUGUAGAUUUUGAGAAGUUGUGGUGGUGGAUUGAAGGUUGUUGAAGUGCGAAGAUGAGGAGGUUGAUCGUGGAGAUGAAACGAUGAUGGUGAUGUUGCGGUUAAAGGAUGAAGAUGAUGAUUCGGAGAGAGUGGAGAGAAUUGGAUGAUGAAGAUGGUGGAGGAUUGAAGAAUGGAAGAGGAAUCCCUGAAUAAUUGUGGAGAUGUUGAAUAUAUAGGGACUGUUUUGGUAAAGAGUAUGUAUGAAUGGUGAUGGAUUUAUGAUGCUUCGAUUGUAUAGGGACUGAUCUUGAAUGACUCUUUUUUCAUUCUGCAGUGUGUAUUGCUACUGUUGUGAAUAUAAACUUUACUGCUUCUGGAUGAUUAGGCUAUAUGAAUGCGGUAGGUUUCAAGUUGCCGAACCGGGCUUCUCAUGGCUUCUUUGCAGCAGGUGGAGUUAUGGUUGGAGGAUGGUGUUUGUGACGUGAAGACGGUUGGAGUAACAGGCUGCGACGGUCACCCUUGGAGCUUGACGAAAGUGAGACGGUUUGGAAGACAUGAUGUAAUAGGUUUAGGAUUUUUGUGUAAUUCACUUUUUGUGACAAAUUGUAUGGACAUGUAUUGUAAUGGAUUCGGUGAACACUAGAAUGAAGCCUCUUUUUUUUUUUUGUAAUAUGGCUUGUAAUGGAAUUGUAAAACUUAAUGAGACGAACUCUAGUAUUUUUGUAGUUUUCAAUGGAAUAUGCAGUGUGACUUUUGGUCC